UUGAUAAGUUUCAUGUAUACUCAGACAUCAUUGAUAAAGGAGUUUUUGAAUGACUCUGGCGAGCACUCGCCAGCCGAAGCCAGCGGUGGGCCGAACCCAACGGCUCGCCAAAGCAACAAGAGUUUAAGAUAGACAGAGGGUUGGAGACUGGGCCACAGGGACCCAACGUCGUUAAUGAUCCUUCCGCAGGUUCACCUACGGAAA
Molecule: unclassified non-coding RNA, 204 nt
Filed under: uncultured fungus
Lineage: Eukaryota; Fungi
Description: sequence contains ITS1
Source: RNAcentral